GACGAACGCUGGCGGCGUGCCUAAUACAUGCAAGUCGAACGAACUCUGGUAUUGAUUGGUGCUUGCAUCAUGAUUUACAUUUGAGUGAGUGGCGAACUGGUGAGUAACACGUGGGAAACCUGCCCAGAAGCGGGGGAUAACACCUGGAAACAGAUGCUAAUACCGCAUAACAACUUGGACCGCAUGGUCCGAGUUUGAAAGAUGGCUUCGGCUGUC
Molecule: ribosomal RNA, 216 nt
Filed under: uncultured bacterium
Lineage: Bacteria
Description: partial 16S ribosomal RNA
Rfam family: Bacterial small subunit ribosomal RNA
Source: RNAcentral